This 449-nucleotide ribosomal RNA is filed under the name uncultured bacterium. Its description in RNAcentral is "partial 16S ribosomal RNA". It matches the Rfam family "Bacterial small subunit ribosomal RNA", at positions 29 to 523 of the family's 1533-position model. The record is from RNAcentral.
AGCGAACGCUGGCGGCAGGCCUAACACAUGCAAGUCGAACGAACUCUUCGGAGUUAGUGGCGGACGGGUGAGUAACACGUGGGAACGUGCCUUUAGGUUCGGCAUAACUCAGGGAAACUUGUGCUAAUACCGAAUGUGCCCUUCGGGGGAAAGAUUUAUCGCCUUUAGAGCGGCCCGCGUCUGAUUAGCUAGUUGGUGAGGUAAAGGCUCACCAAGGCGACGAUCAGUAGCUGGUCUGAGAGGAUGAUCAGCCACAUUGGGACUGAGACACGGCCCAAACUCCUACGGGGGGCAGCAGUGGGGAAUCUUGCGCAAUGGGCGAAAGCCUGACGCAGCCAUGCCGCGUGAAUGAUGAAGGUCUUAGGAUUGUAAAAUUCUUUCACCGGGGACGAUAAUGACGGUACCCGGAGAAGAAGCCCCGGCUAACUUCGUGCCAGCCGCCGCGGUAA